This is a non-coding RNA of Symphalangus syndactylus (siamang), 381 nucleotides long. NCBI's taxonomy places the organism in Eukaryota, Metazoa, Chordata, Mammalia, Primates, Hylobatidae. The record is from the annotation of a RefSeq genome assembly.
AUGACAUCCAUUCAAGCUAUAUUUAUAUUCUUGUGGCUGCAGCUGGACUCGGUGAAUGGAGAGAAUGUGGAGCAGCAUCCUUCAACUCUGAGUGUCCAGGAGGGAGAGAGCUCUGUUAUCAAGUGUACUUAUUCAGACAGUGCCUCAAACUACUUCCCUUGGUAUAAGCAAGAACUUGGAAAAGGACCUAAGCUUAUUAUAGACAUUCGUUCAAAUGUGGGUGAAAAGAAAGACCAAAGAAUUACUGUUACAUUGAACAAGACAGCCAAACAUUUCUCCCUGCACAUCACAGAGAUCCAACCUGGAGACUCAGCUGUCUACUUCUGUGCAGCAAGGUUAAAACAGCUGGGCAAGAAAGAAUCUGGUUUUGCUGAGAAGUAA